AGGGUUUGAUCCUGGCUCAGGACGAACGCUGGCGGCGUGCCUAAUACAUGCAAGUCGAGCGAAUUGAUGGGAGCUUGCUCCCUGAUAUUAGCGGCGGACGGGUGAGUAACACGUGGGUAACCUGCCUGUAAGAUUGGGAUAACUCCGGGAAACCGGAGCUAAUACCGGAUAAUAUGUUGAACCGCAUGGUUCAAUAUUGAAAGAUGGCUUCGGCUAUCACUUACAGAUGGACCCGCGGCGCAUUAGCUAGUUGGUGAGGUAACGGCUCACCAAGGCGACGAUGCGUAGCCGACCUGAGAGGGUGAUCGGCCACACUGGGACUGAGACACGGCCCAGACUCCUACGGGAGGCAGCAGUAGGGAAUCUUCCGCAAUGGACGAAAGUCUGACGGAGCAACGCCGCGUGAACGAUGAAGGCCUUCGGGUCGUAAAGUUCUGUUGUUAGGGAAGAACAAGUACCAGAGUAACUGCUGGCACCUUGACGGUACCUAACCAGAAAGCCACGGCUAACUACGUGCCAGCAGCCGCGGUAAUACGUAGGUGGCAAGCGUUGUCCGGAAUUAUUGGGCGUAAAGCGCGCGCA
RNAcentral lists this ribosomal RNA (582 nucleotides) under uncultured Bacillus sp. RNAcentral describes it as "bacterial SSU rRNA". It matches the Rfam family "Bacterial small subunit ribosomal RNA", at positions 8 to 573 of the family's 1533-position model. The record is from RNAcentral. Lineage: Bacteria; Bacillati; Bacillota; Bacilli; Caryophanales; Bacillaceae.